Molecule: ribosomal RNA, 403 nt
Filed under: uncultured bacterium
Lineage: Bacteria
Description: partial 16S ribosomal RNA
Rfam family: Bacterial small subunit ribosomal RNA
Source: RNAcentral
GACGAACGCUGGCGGCGUGCCUAAUACAUGCAAGUCGAACGCAGUGGGGACGGGUGCGUAACAAGUGGGUCACCUCCCAUCAGAGGGGAUAACACUUGGAAACAGGCGCUAAACCGCUACUGAUGGAUGGACCCGCGGGGCAUUAGCUAGUGGGGGAGGUAACGGCUCACCAAGGCGACGAUGCAUAGCUGACCUGAGAGGGUGACCGGCCACACUGGGACUGAGACACGGCCCAGACUCCUACGGGAGGCAGCAGUAGGGAAUCUUGGGCAAUGGACGAAAGCCUGACCGAGCAACGCCGCGGGAGUGAAGAAGGUUUUCGGAUCGUAAAACUCUGUUGGUAGAGAAGCGGUAUCUAAACAGAAAGCCACGGCUAACUACGUGCCAGCAGCCGCGGUAAUAC